UACGAAGGGUGCAAGCGUUACUCGGAAUUACUGGGCGUAAAGCGUGCGUAGGUGGUUUGUUAAGUCUGAUGUGAAAGCCCUGGGCUCAACCUGGGAAUUGCAUUCGGAUACUGGCAGGCUAGAGUGCGGUAGAGGAUGGCGGAAUUCCCGGUGUAGCAGUGAAAUGCGUAGAGAUCGGGAGGAACAUCUGUGGCGAAGGCGGCCAUCUGGACCAGCACUGACACUGAGGCACGAAAGCGUGGGGAGCAAACAGG
Molecule: ribosomal RNA, 254 nt
Filed under: uncultured bacterium
Lineage: Bacteria
Description: partial 16S ribosomal RNA
Rfam family: Bacterial small subunit ribosomal RNA
Source: RNAcentral